AACAUACACAUUAUUCUGGAACAUUAUUUGAGCAUAAAGAACUUAAUUUUUGGCUCCUCCAACUAUAUCAAUAUAAUUACCAUACAUUGUGAUAAGAGUGUUGAGCAAGAAUCAAGCAGUUCAAUCUCAUAGUACAAGAAAAUAAACUAUGAUAUUUUUUAUAAUCUUUCUUUUAUAGCCGACCCCAACUAGUUUGGGAUUAAGGCUAAGUUGUUAUUUCUUUUAUACAUGGGCAAGGUUGAUUUACAAUAAUCCAACAUAUGAUUCUGUUACUGUCAUUUUAUAGCACUGAGAUGAAUCAGGAUGUUUUGGCAGAUGCAAAUGCUAUAAUGGAUCCUCCUCCCAUCUCCAGUUCCCAGUUGUGAUGCCCUGAAAAGAAAAUAUAUAACAACACCUACACUUUGUCCAGACUUGAACUAUCUCCAUGGCUAAGCUAAACAUUCUGUACAGCAUUCAUCUGUAUUGCACGUUUUAGAAGAGUUCUGUAUUCUUGACUUCUCGACCAUUCAUCAAUUUCACGAGCACGUAGAACAGGCAGAGGGUGUGAAAGUUGCCUCGUUUGAGCAUUUCUUAUGUACCACCCUACUGGACUUGAAGAAGCUCUGUCAUAAGAGCGAGCUUGUUCCAAGAAUGCAUCCACAUUUAGUUGAUCAGCAAUUGAUGGGCUUCCCCCAGCUAAUUUCAUCAAAACAGAGAUGACCACCUUGGGGUCUUGGGCAACAAGAAGGGCUGCACGAUCACAAGUCAGCUCUGCUGCUCGGAGCCAACGAAAUAACUGUUCUUCCAAGCUCUGAGCUAUCAACCUGCCAAGUCCAGGUACAGUAUAGGCUCCAAGAGUAAGAAUAUUGGCAAAUGUGAGCCAUACGCCAUGAUCGCAUUUCAAAUGACCCAGCUCAUGGGCCAGAACAGCCUGCAACUCCUUUCGUGUCAAAAGCUCCACUAGACUGGUAUGGACAACAACAAAGGGCUUUUUCCCACUAAUUGCUAAAGUAUAUGCAUUUGGUACAGGACUUUGGCGUACAUAAAGAUCAGGAGCCUCAAGGUUCAGUAUUUCUGCAGCCUCAGUCAUCAACUGAUGAAGUUCACUAAGCUGAUUUUUAGAGACAAGGACUGACGUCCCAAUAUUCUCAAGAAGCAUGAUUUGCUCUGUCAUAGAUCCCAAAAGAGCCUUCCCUAGUUCAUUUAAUCCUGGAAUUGCCCUCAAGAGCAGCGUGUUCUGUUUGUCAAGCGGAUGCCUAAAAUCAUCAGCAUCAAGAUCACGAAACACAACAGCAGCUGCUCUACAAACAGAAACCCUAAAUCCUCGAUUCUUCUUGAUGGAGCUAAAUCCAACAGAAGCCGAAGCAGACCUCAAAUUAUCAGAAAUUCUAUAGCUGAAACUGAGAGGAGAUAACUUCCCAUGAGGCAAGCAGAGAGAGAAAAGAGGCACCGAAGCCAUUGAAGAAGAGAUACAAUUGCAGAAGCAGCAAGUCAGCUCCGAUUAUCGCUUGCUUAAAAGAUUAAAUCAAAUUAUUUGCGUUUGGCUGCUGAGCUUUCUCUUCUGUUCUUA
Molecule: unclassified non-coding RNA, 1549 nt
Filed under: Hevea brasiliensis (rubber tree)
Lineage: Eukaryota; Viridiplantae; Streptophyta; Magnoliopsida; Malpighiales; Euphorbiaceae
Source: RNAcentral